GAAAUGCGAUAAGUAGUGUGAAUUGCAGAAUUCAGUGAAUCAUCGAAUCUUUGAACGCACAUUGCGCCCUUUGGUAUUCCAAAGGGCAUGCCUGUUCGAGCGUCAUUUGUACCCUCAAGCUUUGCUUGGUGUUGGGCGUCUUGUCUCCAGUUCGCUGGAGACUCGCCUUAAAGUAAUUGGCAGCCGGCCUACUGGUUUCGGAGCGCAGCACAAGUCGCGCUCUCUUCCAGCCAAGGUCAGCAUCCACAAAGCCUUUUUUCAACUUUUGACCUCGGAUCAGGUAGGGAUACCCGCUGAACUUAA
This 303-nucleotide unclassified non-coding RNA is filed under the name fungal sp. RNAcentral describes it as "partial contains 5.8S ribosomal RNA, internal transcribed spacer 2, and large subunit ribosomal RNA". The stretch from base 1 to 105 matches the Rfam family "5.8S ribosomal RNA", at positions 50 to 154 of the family's 154-position model. The record is from RNAcentral. Lineage: Eukaryota; Fungi. RNAcentral also lists the same sequence under 3 other names.